RNAcentral lists this ribosomal RNA (492 nucleotides) under uncultured bacterium. RNAcentral's name for it is "partial 16S ribosomal RNA". It matches the Rfam family "Bacterial small subunit ribosomal RNA", at positions 29 to 507 of the family's 1533-position model. The record is from RNAcentral.
AGUGAACGCUGGCGGUAGGCCUAACACAUGCAAGUCGAACGGCAGCACAGUAAGAGCUUGCUCUUACGGGUGGCGAGUGGCGGACGAGUGAGGAAUACAUCGGAAUCUACUUUUUCGUGGGGGAUAACGUAGGGAAACUUACGCUAAUACCGCAUACGACCUACGGGUGAAAGCAGGGGAUCUUCGGACCUUGCGCGAUUGAAUGAGCCGAUGUCGGAUUAGCUAGUUGGCGGGGUAAAGGCCCACCAAGGCGACGAUCCGUAGCUGGUCUGAGAGGAUGAUCAGCGACACUGGAACUGAGACACGGUCCAGACUCCGACGGGAGGCAGCAGUGGGGAAUAUUGGACAAUGGGCGCAAGCCUGAUCCAGCCAUACCGCGUGGGUGAAGAAGGCCUUCGGGUUGUAAAGCCCUUUUGUUGGGAAAGAAAAGCAGCAGGUUAAUACCCCGCUGUUCUGACGGUACCCAAAGAAUAAGCACCGGCUAACUUCGUG